RNAcentral lists this ribosomal RNA (144 nucleotides) under uncultured bacterium. RNAcentral's name for it is "partial 16S ribosomal RNA". It matches the Rfam family "Bacterial small subunit ribosomal RNA", at positions 337 to 497 of the family's 1533-position model. The record is from RNAcentral.
UCCUACGGGAGGCAGGCAGUGGGGAAUUUUGCACAAUGGGCGGAAGCCUGAUGCAGCGACGCCGCGUGGAGGAAGAAGGCCUUCGGGUUGUAAACUCCUUUUGUAAGGGGACAAUGGUGAUGUACCUUACGAAUAAGCCCACGG